AUGCUGUUGCUGCGGAGAAAAGCCUCAUUACCCAUUCCGCGGGCGGGCAAGGGCGGGGGGGGGGGCGGACACCCACCCCCUCCCCGGGGCGCGCACUCCCGGGCCCCGCCCCGCCGCGCCCCCUCCCCCUCCCCCUCCCCUGCCGCGCGCCCGCCCGCGCCCGCUCCCGCGCCCGCGCACGCGCACCGGCCGCGAGCGAGAACAGAGCGGACACACCUAACCUGCGCGCGCGCGCCCCGCGCCCCGCCCCCACUCGGGCCGAGCCGCGCAGCCCGACCCGGAUCCGCUCCCCCGCCCGAAGCGCCCCUCCCCUCCCUUCCCCUCCCCUCCCCUCUCUCCGCGGCCUCGGCGCCUCCGCCAGCCUUCGGCAAUUUCCGGCGCUCGGCGAGGCCCGAGGCCCCGCCGCCGCCUCCUCCGCCGGACCCGGCUUUCUGUCUGCGGCGCCGGGGCGCAUGCGCAGACGCCAUCUUCCUCCGUCUCCUUCGCCUGCCCCCUCCCCCUCCCCCCUGCCGCCGCCGCCGCCGCCUCCUCCUCCUCUCGCCGGCGGUCGCCCCUCCUCCUCCUCGUCCUCCUCCUCCUCCUGCGCUCGGGCGCUGGUCCCUCCUCUCCCGCUGCCGCGAGAGACUGGGGGACGCGGCGGAGCCGGAGGAGAGCACUAGUAACAACCACCACGGCCCCCUCCCCGCCCGCCCGCCCUCCGCACCCACCCACUCGCCGACACCGGCCAACCCCACCUCCCGUUCCUUUGAACGGCGUCGGCUGCAGUCGCUUGCACCAGCCCGUCUGGCCCCCAGCGCCGCCGAGGAAGGAGCCGCCCGCGAGGACGAGGACGAGGACGGGGACGAGGACGAGGAGCCGAGCGGCUCGCAGCCCGCCGCCGCCCCCCGGGGAGGCCCGGGCGCCGGCCCCUUCCUCCCCGAGGACGCGUGCCGAGCCGAGGCGCCUGCCCCGAGGGAGGAAAAUGCUCGGGCUCCAUGGCUGCCAGUGAUGGAGCGGUCCCUGCGCUCCCGCCGCCGCCGCCGCCGCGCCCCGGCCGUGCUCCGCGAGGACCCGGCGUCCCUGCGCGCCCGCCCGCGCCCCGUUGCUGGGCUCACCGUACCGGGCGCCCCGCCGCCCCGCUCCGAGCCUCGCCGCCCCGGCCCCGGCCGCGGCCAGCGUCUGCUCACGGAACAGCCGCCGCGAGCCCAGGGGGUUUGA
RNAcentral lists this long non-coding RNA (1197 nucleotides) under Canis lupus familiaris (dog). Its description in RNAcentral is "lncRNA (ENSCAFG00000051951.1)". Lineage: Eukaryota; Metazoa; Chordata; Mammalia; Carnivora; Canidae. The record is from RNAcentral.